UAAUGAAGCGCGAGGGCUAGGAAAUGGACUCUCGUGGGUGGGGGCGAGGAAGGGAAGGAAAGGGAAAGGAAGCGAUGAGAAGAGAGAGGAGUGUUUCAAGGGAGUGGGGGGAAUGUUUUAAGGGGAGAGAGGGAGCGUUGGCGAUGGUGAGUGAAUGGAGACGACGGCUAUGGCGGGCCAUGGGUGAAUGAGAGGAGAACACUUCCCGAGGGCCGAAAGAAACUGCCACAGCACGAAGCAGCUUACCUGCUUCAGUGAGUGAGUGAGUGAGUCUCGCCCUUUUCCUGUUCCCUUCCAUACCAAAAGGUUGUGGUUCUUUGCAACUUCUCCGUCAUUCGUUGUUGGAAUAAGCGUCGAUUCCGCGAUCGCUACCACUGCGGUGGUGAUGUAGGUAGAGGUGUGAAUCGGAGAAGACUUAUGACAACCAUCGAAGUCCCCGGUAUGUAGUCUUAAAACUACUUACUCACAGUUCGGUUCGGGAGAUUUGUGGGAGUUUUCGUGCUUUUAAAACUGUAAGCGACGAUGAGGUGGCUGCGAAAGGUAUCCACACCUUUCAGACGGGUGUGGAAAGCUAUUUUCGCCAAGCUUCGUCCUCGCAAGCACAAGCGAGGAAGUGGUGUAGGGAAGUUGUACAACGAUGUACUCUCCUGUGGAUACGACGAUGUGCAUACCAUGUGGACUAUCCUUCACGAGACACACGCUCCCGUCGAUUCUCCAAAGAAACAUCGGCCGAUUGUGAGUUUCCGUUGAGGUACUCGGCAGUGAGGCAUGGGCUCCAUCCUCGAGCUCUGCGAUAUGGAUAGUGACAUCAGUCUGCAUAUAUCCUGAUGCUACUAUAUCCUCAUGUGAAUAGGUACUGGGAGAUACCUGCUCCUGGAUAGCAAAUCCAGAUUGUAAAUGUUUUUCCCGGGGUCUAGGGUAUCUGCCGUUUUUCUAAAUCAAAAAAACUAAAACCAAAAAUUCUACUUUUAAGUGCUAUGUUUAAGAAGGGCUACUCCUUAUCGGGGAAAAUGUGCAGGCUGUUGCAGUCGAGCACCCGUAAUGAAUCUGAUGAAGCGUGACUUCAUCGGAAGUCAUGCAGUAGCCAGAACACAGACCCUUGUCUGACGUUCUGCGCUUGGAAUUCUUUGACUAGCAGAGCAUGCCGAGAUGUAUUAAGUUAAAUUUCUUUUCAGGGGAUAUGAGGAGACCCCGUGUAAUUUUACGAGAUCUAUCUGUAAAGUAAAGACACUAUGUAAGCUGGCUUUUCCAGUGUCACAGAUCACUGCUUA
Molecule: non-coding RNA, 1271 nt
Organism: Physcomitrium patens
Lineage: Eukaryota; Viridiplantae; Streptophyta; Bryopsida; Funariales; Funariaceae
Source: RefSeq, a predicted model, not a curated record